GAUCCUGGCUCAGGAUGAACGCUGGCGGCGUGCCUAAUACAUGCAAGUCGAACGCGAGCACUUGUGCUCGAGUGGCGAACGGGUGAGUAAUACAUAAGUAACCUGCCCUAGACAGGGGGAUAACUAUUGGAAACGAUAGCUAAGACCGCAUAGGUACGGACACUGCAUGGUGACCGUAUUAAAAGUGCCUCAAAGCACUGGUAGAGGAUGGACUUAUGGCGCAUUAGCUGG
RNAcentral lists this ribosomal RNA (231 nucleotides) under uncultured bacterium. Its description in RNAcentral is "partial 16S ribosomal RNA". It matches the Rfam family "Bacterial small subunit ribosomal RNA", at positions 15 to 248 of the family's 1533-position model. The record is from RNAcentral.